RNAcentral lists this ribosomal RNA (531 nucleotides) under uncultured Streptococcus sp. Its description in RNAcentral is "bacterial SSU rRNA". It matches the Rfam family "Bacterial small subunit ribosomal RNA", at positions 28 to 541 of the family's 1533-position model. The record is from RNAcentral. Lineage: Bacteria; Bacillati; Bacillota; Bacilli; Lactobacillales; Streptococcaceae.
GGCGAACGCUGGCGGCGUGCCUAAUACAUGCAAGUAGAACGCUGAGGUUUGGUGUUUACACUAGACUGAUGAGUUGCGAACGGGUGAGUAACGCGUAGGUAACCUGCCUCAUAGCGGGGGAUAACUAUUGGAAACGAUAGCUAAUACCGCAUAAGAGUAAUUAACACAUGUUAGUUAUUUAAAAGGAGCAAUUGCUUCACUGUGAGAUGGACCUGCGUUGUAUUAGCUAGUUGGUGAGGUAAAGGCUCACCAAGGCGACGAUACAUAGCCGACCUGAGAGGGUGAUCGACCACACUGGGACUGAGACACGGCCCAGACUCCUACGGGAGGCAGCAGUAGGGAAUCUUCGGCAAUGGACAGAAGUCUGACCGAGCAACGCCGCGUGAGUGAAGAAGGUUUUCGGAUCGUAAAGCUCUGUUGUUAGAGAAGAACGUUGGUAGGAGUGGAAAAUCUACCAAGUGACGGUAACUAACCAGAAAGGGACGGCUAACUACGUGCCAGCAGCCGCGGUAAUACGUAGGUCCCGAGCGU